UCUUUAGGCUGGAGAUGAUGAGGUACAU
Molecule: non-coding RNA, 28 nt
Filed under: Rattus norvegicus (Norway rat)
Lineage: Eukaryota; Metazoa; Chordata; Mammalia; Rodentia; Muridae
Source: RNAcentral